GCCUGGGUGGCUCAGUUGGCUAAGCAUCUGACUUUGGCUCAGGUCAUGAUCUCACUGUUUGUGAGUUCAAGUCCCACAACAGGCU
This 85-nucleotide transfer RNA is filed under the name Felis catus (domestic cat). It matches the Rfam family "tRNA". Rfam says of the family: Transfer RNA (tRNA) molecules are approximately 80 nucleotides in length. RNAcentral also lists the same sequence under 1 other name. Lineage: Eukaryota; Metazoa; Chordata; Mammalia; Carnivora; Felidae. The record is from Rfam by way of RNAcentral.